This 684-nucleotide long non-coding RNA is filed under the name Oryza brachyantha (malo sina). Its description in RNAcentral is "long non-coding RNA (OBRA_LNC001844)". The record is from RNAcentral. Lineage: Eukaryota; Viridiplantae; Streptophyta; Magnoliopsida; Poales; Poaceae.
AAGGUAAGAUCUAGUGAUCAUGGAGACAAAUCAUCAUCCAAAUAGCAAUCUCCCGUAGGAAAGAGAGGCACCAGGACUCCACCUUAGAGAUGAUGGAAUUGGAAACCUGCAGGAACACUAGUGAAACCUCUGACUUUGUAGAGGAACAUCAAAGGCUUGCAGUGCCCUGUGUAUCCGCUGUCAAAAUUGGUUUCACGACCUGACGCUUCUUCGCCACUCUCAUCUUCUCCCCCAACGCAUGCAAUCGUGAGACAACAGAGCUAGCGAAGUCGAUACACCAAGCAGCGGAUCCGACCAUGAGAGCAGUGAAGCUAGAGCAUGGCUGACAUGCUUUGCCUGAGUGGAUUACAGUCCAUAAGCUCCAAGUUCGACGAUUGCAGGUGGUUUUUUUACCUCUUGACCCGUUGCUCCAGUAAGCACCGUGGCCGACUUGGUCCUGGAGCAGUCAAAGUUUCUGCAGUUCUAAUGGAUUGUUUUUAAAAGAUAAUGGAUGCCUUUAUUGAACUUACAAAACCAACAAAUAUGAUGAAAAUGGUUAUCGGAGAUAGUUUUUGUUAGGUGCCUUAUUGAGUUCUUGUUAAGUUUAGCUCUAUCAGGCCUCCAUGAUUGCCCUGAGAGUCAAGAGGCAACGAAGUAAGGAGGAAGAGAAGGAUCUGGUUAAUUGGUCUAAAGCACCAUCAAAAG